AUGUGGCAGAAGUCAAUUGAGGGGGACGAAAAGGAGGAAAAGGAGAUAAAAGCCGUUCGUACGCUUUGGAACACUGUGUUAGAGACUUUAACAUCAAUGAAGGCAGAGAGAGAAGUAGCUUGUGCAGCUGCACAAAUGUUGGGUCCGGGGGUCCCUGCCGAUAAGCCCCGAAAUAAGUUGGGACCUGUCGCGCGGUUCUUCGGACUGCCUGCCGUGAGGGGUAUGUCUGGGACAGUCUGUAAAAGCAUUGACGAGCUGCGGAAGAAAGGGGAGGGUCGCGACUCCCYGGGAGCAGAGAAAAUAGUACUACCGGAGCCCGAACAGGCACCCGAGAAAGCAGAAGUUUCUACGGGAAAGGCCGAUGCAAGCUCUGAAGCAAAAGCGGAAGUGCGCCCGGAGGAGGUCCUGAAAGGGGCGGAGGCCGCACCUCUUGCCGACCUCAUAGACUUGGGCGGAGAGAGGUACCGACCUCCUCCUUCUGCCCCUCCUCUUCCACCGCCUGCCGCACCGUCGUUGCACCCCCCACUGCCGUCCUUCAGCGAGUCCUCUGGUGAUACCACCCCAGUCGCCAGGAAAAAGUCGCCGCCAGCCCCAGAUGUCACUGCAAAAAUAUUGCAAACAGUUUUAAAGCGCCUUGAGGAAUUGGAGCUGCAGACAAAGCACAAGGGGGGAAGCGUUCCUCCAUGCUUCCUGAGCCCCUCUACACCAUCCGCGACUGCGCCUCCCGUACUUACGCGUUGGAGCGGCGUUAUCAAAGAUGCCAUUAUAGAAGGACAAUGGAAACCUCUCGGAGGGGCCGAGGGUCCCACAGCAUUGGCAUUCCCUGUGAUACAACAGAAUGGCCAAGGGAAAUGGGAGCCACAUGAUUGGAAAAUCUUGCAACAAGCUCGCACUACCGUCUUGACCUACGGAGUAAAAUCCGAGGCAACGAGGCAGAUAGUGAGUUGGAUCUUCUCCGCCCACCUCAUGUGUCCUCAGGACUGCAAGAACUUAAUGAGACUGUUACUUACCCUGACGCAAUAUCUCCUAUGGGCSUCGUCAUGGCAUCAGCGAGCCGCCAGUGAGGCAGCUCGCAGACAAGCAGAGGGAGAUCCUCUCCGUGGAAUAACUGCUGAUAUGCUUGUAGGUGAAGGAGCCUACAAUGACCUACAAGCGCAAAUAACAUUCCCGCCGAACAUGUUGCAGCUGUCCGCUCGGCUCGCAUUAGACGCAUUUCUUGGUCUACCAGGAUCAAGUGCUCCAUCAUUUAGCAAUCUACUUCAAGGGGCAACGGAGAAAUAUAGUAAUUUCAUAGAUCGACUGGGGGAAGCAAUCAUGCAACACCCUGAUUUGUCUGAUGAAAGCAAAAAUCAAAUGUUCAAGGUGUUAGCCUUCGACAAUGCUAAUAAGACCACAAAACAAACGUUAGCCAGCUUACCCAAGGGGGCUGGAGUAGAAGAAAUGCUCCUAAGGGUUGAGAGGGCUGAAGCACAAUGA
This 1476-nucleotide long non-coding RNA is filed under the name Apteryx haastii (Great spotted kiwi). RNAcentral's name for it is "lncRNA (ENSAHAG00000009724.1)". Lineage: Eukaryota; Metazoa; Chordata; Aves; Apterygiformes; Apterygidae. The record is from RNAcentral.